CUACGGGGGGCAGCAGUGGGGAAUAUUGCGCAAUGGGCGAAAGCCUGACGCAGCAACGCCGCGUGAUCGAUGAAGCUUCAAGGAGUGUAAAGAUCUGUCCUAAGGGAAGAAUGGUUCCAAGUCGAAUAGGCUUGGUUCGUGACGGUACCUUAGAAGAAAGCGCCGGCUAACUUCGUGCCAGCAGCCGCGGUAAUACGAGGGGCGCAAGCGUUGUCCGGAUUCAUUGGGUGUAAAGGGUGCGUAGGUGGAUUUGUAAGUUGGAAUUUAAAUCCCGCAGCUUAACUGCGGACCUGGUUUCAAAACUGCAGAUCUUGAGUUCGAAAGAGGGUAGUGGAAUUCCUAGUGUAGCGGUGGAAUGCGUAGAUAUUAGGAGGAACACCAGUGGCGAAGGCGGCUCUCUGGUUCGAUACUGACACUAAGGCACGAAAGCGUGGGGAGCAAACAGGAUUAGAUACCCUAGUAGUC
This 465-nucleotide ribosomal RNA is filed under the name uncultured bacterium. RNAcentral describes it as "partial 16S ribosomal RNA". It matches the Rfam family "Bacterial small subunit ribosomal RNA", at positions 339 to 795 of the family's 1533-position model. The record is from RNAcentral.